RNAcentral lists this unclassified non-coding RNA (323 nucleotides) under soil metagenome. Its description in RNAcentral is "partial contains 5.8S ribosomal RNA, internal transcribed spacer 2, and large subunit ribosomal RNA". The stretch from base 1 to 120 matches the Rfam family "5.8S ribosomal RNA", at positions 35 to 154 of the family's 154-position model. The record is from RNAcentral.
GAUGAAGAACGCAGCGAAAUGCGAUAGGUAAUGCGAAUUGCAGAAUUCAGUGAGUCAUCGAAUCUUUGAACGCACAUUGCGCCCUGUGGUAUUCCGCAGGGCAUGCCUGUUCGAGCGUCAUUUCAACCCUCAAGCUCUGCUUGGUGUUGGGCCCUGCCCGCUGCGGCCGGCCCUAAAGACAGUGGCGGUGCCGCCUGGCCCUGAGCGUAGUACAUCUCUCGCUCCAGUGCCCGGUGGUAGCCUGCCAGAACCCCAACUCUCGUGGUUGACCUCGGAUCAGGUAGGGAUACCCGCUGAACUUAAGCAUAUCAAUAAGCGGAGGA